Molecule: ribosomal RNA, 652 nt
Filed under: uncultured Acidobacteriota bacterium
Lineage: Bacteria; Pseudomonadati; Acidobacteriota
Description: bacterial SSU rRNA
Rfam family: Bacterial small subunit ribosomal RNA
Source: RNAcentral
GAGUUUGAUCAUGGCUCAGGAUAAACGCUGGCGGCGUGCAUGAGACAUGCAAGUCGAACGGACGAGUGGGCUUGCUCACUCGUUAGUGGCGGACGGCUGAGUAACGCGUAGGUGACCUGCCCCGAAGUGGGGAAUAACUGCCCGAAAGGGUGGCUAAUACCGCAUGUGGUGCCACGUUCAUUCGUGUCUCCAAAGCCGCAAGGCGCUUCGGGAGGGGCCUGCGUCCGAUUAGCUCGUUGGUGGGGUAAUGGCUCACCAAGGCGACGAUCGGUAGGUGGUCUGAGAGGACGAUCACCCAGACUGGGACUGAGACACGGCCCAGACUCCUACGGGAGGCAGCAGUCGGGAAUUUUGCUCAAUGGGCGCAAGCCUGAAGCAGCAACGCCGCGUGGGGGAUGACGGCCUUCGGGUUGUAAACCUCUUUUCCAGGGGACGAUAAUGACGGUACCCGGGGAAUAAGUCACGGCUAACUACGUGCCAGCAGCCGCGGUAAUACGUAGGUGACGAGCGUUGUCCGGAUUUACUGGGCGUAAAGAGCGCGCAGGCGGUCGUAUAAGUCGAGUGUGAAAUCCCCCGGCUCAACUGGGGAACGUCGCUCGAUACUGUUCGACUCGAAGGCGGGAGAGGGAAGCGGAAUUCCCGGUGUAGUGGU